CUCCGUAGGGGAACCUGCGGAGGGAUCAUUACAGAGUUAUCCAACUCCCAAACCCAUGUGAACUUAUCUCUUUGUUGCCUCGGCGCAAGCUACCCGGGACCUCGCGCCCCGGGGGGCCCGCCGGCGGACAAACCAAACUCUGUUAUCUUCGUUGAUUAUCUGAGUGUCUUAUUUAAUAAGUCAAAACUUUCAACAACGGAUCUCUUGGUUCUGGCAUCGAUGAAGAACGCAGCGAAAUGCGAUAAGUAAUGUGAAUUGCAGAAUUCAGUGAAUCAUCGAAUCUUUGAACGCACAUUGCGCCCAUUAGUAUUCUAGUGGGCAUGCCUGUUCGAGCGUCAUUUCAACCCCUAAGCACAGCUUAUUGUUGGGACUCUACGGCUUCGUAGUUCCCCAAAGACAUUGGCGGAGUGGCAGCAGUCCUCUGAGCGUAGUAAUUCUUUAUCUCGCUUUUGUUAGGCGCUGCCCCCCCGGCCGUAAAACCCCCAAUUUUUUCUGGUUGACCUCGGAUCAGGUAGGAAUACCCGCUGAACUUAAGCAUAUCAAA
Molecule: ribosomal RNA, 544 nt
Filed under: fungal sp. Y10 JY-2013
Lineage: Eukaryota; Fungi
Description: eukaryotic LSU rRNA
Rfam family: 5.8S ribosomal RNA (bases 185-338)
Source: RNAcentral